UAGCUCAGUUGGUAGAGUGCUUGCCUUGCAUGCAUAAGGCCCUGGGUUCAAUCCCCAG
This is a non-coding RNA of Ictidomys tridecemlineatus (thirteen-lined ground squirrel), 58 nucleotides long. NCBI's taxonomy places the organism in Eukaryota, Metazoa, Chordata, Mammalia, Rodentia, Sciuridae. The record is from Rfam.